AUGCUUUCGUUCCUCAGUGUCAGUAAUGAUCCAGAAAGCUGCCUUCGCAGUUGGUAUUCUUUCUAAUAUCUACGAAUUUCACCUCUACACUAGAAAUUCUGCUUUCCUCUAUCAUACUCUAGCUGAAAAGUUUUGAUGGCAGUUCCAGAGUUAAGCUCUGGGAUUUCACCACCAACUUUUUCAACCACCUACGAACUCUUUAAGCCCAGUAAUUCCGAACUACGCUAGGUCCCUUCGUAUUACCGCGGCUGCUGGCACGAAGUUAGCCGGACCUUCUUAUUCGGGUACAGUCAUUUUCUUCCCCGACGAAAGAGCUUUACAACCCAAAGGCCUUCUUCACUCACGCGGCAUCGCUGCAUCAGAGUUUCCUCCAUUGUGCAAGAUUCCCCACUGCUGCCUCCCGUAGGAGUUUGGGCCGUGUCUCAGUCCCAAUGUGGCUGAUCAUCCUCUCAAAUCAGCUAUUGAUCAUAGUCUUGGUAGGCCAUUACCCUACCAACAAACUAAUCAAGUGCGGGCUCAUCCAAUGGUGCAUAAAGCUUUCUCCGUAAAGACUUAUCCGGUAUUAGCACAAGUUUCCUCGUGUUAUUCCAGGCCAAAGGGUAGAUACCCACAUGUUACUCACCCGUCUGCCACUAAGUAUUGCUACUUCGUUCGACUUGCAUGUGUUAGGCGUGCCGCCAGCGUACGUUCUGAGCCAGGAUCAAACUCU
Molecule: ribosomal RNA, 709 nt
Filed under: uncultured bacterium
Lineage: Bacteria
Description: partial 16S ribosomal RNA
Source: RNAcentral